CAGCUCUAUAGUAAUUAGGGGUAGACAAUUCUAAUUCAGCUCUAUAGUAAUUAGGGGUAGACAAUUCUAAUUCAGUUCUAUAGUAAUUAGGGGUAGACAAUUCUAAUUCAGUUCUAUAGUAAUUAGGGGUAGACAAUUCAUAUUUCAUUUUAUAAUUACCAGGUGUAGAAAAUUCUGAUUUCACAUAUUAGAAAAGUAGUCAGGUGUUCUAAUAAUAAUAAUAAUAAUAAUAAAUUUAAAAUCUGGUUUUCUUUGAUAUUAAUCAGGUGUAGAAUUCAAAUUUUG
Molecule: long non-coding RNA, 285 nt
Organism: Ictalurus punctatus (channel catfish)
Lineage: Eukaryota; Metazoa; Chordata; Actinopteri; Siluriformes; Ictaluridae
Source: Ensembl